GCCCGGAUAGCUCAGUCGGUAGAGCAUCAGACUUUUAAGCAUGAUCAAGUCAUCUGAGGGUCCAGGGUUCGAGUCCCUGUUCGGGCG
Lingula anatina is the source of this 87-nucleotide non-coding RNA. NCBI's taxonomy places the organism in Eukaryota, Metazoa, Brachiopoda, Lingulata, Lingulida, Lingulidae. The record is from Rfam.